GAUGAAGAACGUAGCGAAAUGCGAUAAGUAAUGUGAAUUGCAGAAUUCAGUGAAUCAUCGAAUCUUUGAACGCACAUUGCGCCCCCUGGUAUUCCGGGGGGCAUCCCUGUCCGAGCGUCAUUACAACCCUCAAGCUCAGCUUGGUAUUGGGCCCCGCCGACCCGGCGGGCCCUAAAGUCAGUGGCGGUGCCGUCCGGCUCCGAGCGUAGUAAUUCUUCUCGCUCUGGAGGUCCGGUCGUGUGCUCGCCAGCAACCCCCAAUUUUUUUCAGGUUGACCUCGGAUCAGGUAGGGAUACCCGCUGAACUUAAGCAUAUCAAUAAGCGGAGGA
Molecule: unclassified non-coding RNA, 329 nt
Filed under: soil metagenome
Description: partial contains 5.8S ribosomal RNA, internal transcribed spacer 2, and large subunit ribosomal RNA
Rfam family: 5.8S ribosomal RNA (bases 1-120)
Source: RNAcentral